This 506-nucleotide ribosomal RNA is filed under the name uncultured bacterium. Its description in RNAcentral is "partial 16S ribosomal RNA". It matches the Rfam family "Bacterial small subunit ribosomal RNA", at positions 29 to 523 of the family's 1533-position model. The record is from RNAcentral.
AGUGAACGCUGGCGGUAGGCCUAACACAUGCAAGUCGAACGGCAGCACAGAGGAGCUUGCUCCUUGGGUGGCGAGUGGCGGACGGGUGAGGAAUACAUCGGAAUCUACUCUGUCGUGGGGGAUAACGUAGGGAAACUUACGCUAAUACCGCAUACGACCUACGGGUGAAAGCAGGGGACCUUCGGGCCUUGCGCGAUUGAAUGAGCAGAUGUCGGAUUAGCUAGUUGGCGGGGUAAAGGCCCACCAAGGCGACGAUCCGUAGCUGGUCUGAGGGUAUGAUCAGCCACACUGGAACUGAGACACGGUCCAGACUCCUACGGGAGGCAGCAGUGGGGAAUAUUGGACAAUGGGCGCAAGCCUGAUCCAGCCAUACCGCGUGGGUGAAGAAGGCCUUCGGGUUGUAAAGCCCUUUUGUUGGGAAAGAAAUCCAGCUGGCUAAUACCCGGUUGGGAUGACGGUACCCAAAGAAUAAGCACCGGCUAACUUCGUGCCAGCCGCCGCAGUAA